GAGUAACGCGUAUGCAACCUACCUAUCAGAGGGAAUAACCGGCGAAAGUCGGACUAAUACCGCAUAAAACAGGGGCACCGCAUGGUGAUAUUUGUUAAAGAAAUUCGCUGAUAGAUGGGCAUGCGUUCCAUUAGGUAGUUGGUGAGGUAACGGCUCACCAAGCCGACGAUGGAUAGGGAACUGAGAGGUUGGUCCCCCACACUGGUACUGAGACACGGACCAGACUCCUACGGGAGGCAGCAGUGAGGAAUAUUGGUCAAGUGGGCGGGAGCCUGAACCAGCCAAGUCGCGUAGAAGGAAGAAGGAUCUAUGGUUCGUAAACUUCUUUUGCAGGGGAAUAAAGUGCAGGACGUGUCCUGUUUUGUAUGUACCCUGAGAAUAAGGAUCGGCUAACUCCGUGCCAGCCGCGGC
This 411-nucleotide ribosomal RNA is filed under the name uncultured bacterium. Its description in RNAcentral is "bacterial SSU rRNA". It matches the Rfam family "Bacterial small subunit ribosomal RNA", at positions 108 to 518 of the family's 1533-position model. The record is from RNAcentral.